CACAGCUUCACUGCAGCCAGCGUGGAGCAGGAUGCUGACAGCAGAGUGGCUCCAGUGAGCUGCCAUUCCAGAUGUCAGGAACAAGCUCACAGACUGAGUGAAGCCGAGAAGGAUUGCAAACACCAGUGAGAAAGGGCUGGGAGACAACAGUGACGGAGAAGAGGAGCAGGCUUUCAGGCGAUAAGGUGGCUGUGAACUGCUUUGAAAUGAGGACAGGCCUCCUGGGAGGAGGGAAGAAUGCACCGAAGCAUGCACUGAUGAAAGUUUCUAUCCAAAGACCCAGAGCCACACUGCUCUUCAUGGAAUGGGGCUGUAUCCUGGCUCAACAACCACAGCAUUUUCACACUUAACAAAAGAAAAGGUCUGUCAAAAUCCAGUAUGCCACCAACUGGGGAAUAUAAACCCCCUUUCUACUUUUUUUAAGUUUACAACAAAUUCAUAAAGCAAAGAGGCUUUUUUAUUUCAUGUUUGUCAAUAAACCUGGCAAUAGAAAUACCAAUUUGAACAGCAAUUUUCCUGCUGGUCUGAGCUGAAAUUAGCUAUGGAUGAAUUGGUUUUCAGUUUUUACAUGUAAAUAAUCUCCACACCCCCUGCUCCUAUAGACAGUUGUAAGACAUUACCCUGUUUCAUGGCCAUGUCUCUGCCCAAAUCUUUGGUUCUUGAAGGUGACACCCAUUUUUGCUGCAAUGACUCUGACCAAUUCUGGUCUAAAGCCUGGGCACAAAGGGCAUAUUGCUGCAACCACAUGGCCAGCAGGGAGGCGGAGGUGGCAGCCUGUCCAGACAGGGUGGAGAAAGGCUUGGAAUAUGGAUGUCCUGAGGACCAAUGGAGGCUUGCCCCAUUGACCUUCAUCACUGUGCCCCGCUGACCUUCAUCACUGUGCCCCGUGCCCCGCUGACCUUCAUCACUGUGCCUCACUGACCUUCAUCUCUCCCACUUCCAGAAUCACUGCUCAGAUUCCAGCCAAGCCCUGAGGGGGGUUCUGGAAAACUCUAUUUCAUUCUAGGGCUGAUGAUUUCCUAUAUUGGCAUUGCCAGAUUUAGCAAAUAAAAAUAUAACAAAUAAUUAUUAGUAUAAGUAUAUUC
Molecule: long non-coding RNA, 1085 nt
Filed under: Homo sapiens (human)
Lineage: Eukaryota; Metazoa; Chordata; Mammalia; Primates; Hominidae
Description: HSALNT0365860
Source: RNAcentral